CCUACGGGUGGCAGCAGUGGGGAAUAUUGCACAAUGGGGGAAACCCUGAUGCAGCAACGCCGCGUGAGCGAAGAAGGCCUUCGCGUCGUAAAGCUCUGUCCUAAGGGUAGAAGCAUGACGGUACCUUAGGAGGAAGCCCCGGCUAACUACGUGCCAGCAGCCGCGUUAAUACGUAGGGGGCGAGCGUUAUCCGGAAUCACUGGGCGUAAUGGGUGCGUAGGCGGCCAAUUAAGCCAGAGGUGAAAGGCUACGGCUCAACCGUAGUAAGCCUGUGGAACUGAAUGGCUUGGGUGCAGGUGAGGAGAGGCGAUUUAUUGGUGUAGCAGUGAAAUGCGUAGAUAUUAGGAGGAACGCCAGUGGCGAAGGCGACUCUCUGGGCUGUAAAAGACGCUGAGGAACGAAAGCGUGGGGAGAAACCGGGAUUAGGUCCCCUGGUAUUG
This 440-nucleotide ribosomal RNA is filed under the name uncultured bacterium. RNAcentral describes it as "bacterial SSU rRNA". It matches the Rfam family "Bacterial small subunit ribosomal RNA", at positions 338 to 795 of the family's 1533-position model. The record is from RNAcentral.